AGCCAUUUUCUGCGUGGGUUUGCUUAGCUGCUUUAGUUUGUUUAUCAUCUGUCAGUUUCCAAUAAUGCUAUGUUUUAUUUCCACUAAAUAGAAAAGAUGAGAUACCUGGUAAUACCUGUCGCUCAAAGUUUGCUGGAAGUGCUGCCUCAGAGUUGGAUCGCUGCAGAUCCCUUGAAACAUUAUAAUCCGUUAUUCAGAGCCUGGACAAGAGUUUAGCACUGCAUUUUUACAGAUCGCUGCCUGUAGCGGAGCACAAAGAAAGCGACAAGACUCCCACAUCUUUCAGCGAGAAGAAAGGAAUCAGCAGAGCAGACUAAUACGGACUUGUGUCUGGUGGCCUUUUUGCACAAAGGCUGCCUUUAAAAGAGAAACGCAGUGUUAUUUAAUGAGCUGUGAGAUGAGGCGCUGCUGCUAACACUCAGAUUCCAGGAUUCAUCUGCUAUUCAUUGUGCUUAAUGUACAUGUUUCUACACCGUGCAUUUAGAAGAUCCCAGAGAAGAAUCCAAAACGGCUG
Molecule: long non-coding RNA, 514 nt
Filed under: Dromaius novaehollandiae (emu)
Lineage: Eukaryota; Metazoa; Chordata; Aves; Casuariiformes; Dromaiidae
Description: lncRNA (ENSDNVG00000003554.1)
Source: RNAcentral